AUUGAACGCUGGCGGCAGGCUUAACACAUGCAAGUCGAGCGGUAACAGGAAUUAGCUUGCUAAUUUGCUGACGAGCGGCGGACGGGUGAGUAACGCGUAGGAAUCUGCCUGGUAGUGGGGGACAACAUGUGGAAACGCAUGCUAAUACCGCAUACGCCCUACGGGGGAAAGGAGGGGAUCUUCGGACCUUUCGCUAUCAGAUGAGCCUGCGUGAGAUUAGCUAGUUGGUGGGGUAAAGGCUCACCAAGGCGACGAUCUCUAGCUGGUCUGAGAGGAUGAUCAGCCACACUGGGACUGAGACACGGCCCAGACUCCUACGGGAGGCAGCAGUGGGGAAUAUUGGACAAUGGGCGCAAGCCUGAUCCAGCCAUGCCGCGUGUGUGAAGAAGGCCUUCGGGUUGUAAAGCACUUUCAGUGGUGAGGAAGGGUGUGUAGUUAAUACCUACAUAUCUUGACGUUAGCCACAGAAGAAGCACCGGCUAACUCUGU
RNAcentral lists this ribosomal RNA (489 nucleotides) under uncultured Marinomonas sp. Its description in RNAcentral is "bacterial SSU rRNA". It matches the Rfam family "Bacterial small subunit ribosomal RNA", at positions 30 to 506 of the family's 1533-position model. Lineage: Bacteria; Pseudomonadati; Pseudomonadota; Gammaproteobacteria; Oceanospirillales; Oceanospirillaceae. The record is from RNAcentral.